Molecule: transfer RNA, 74 nt
Filed under: Prosthecochloris sp. GSB1
Lineage: Bacteria; Pseudomonadati; Chlorobiota; Chlorobiia; Chlorobiales; Chlorobiaceae
Description: Chlorobium bathyomarinum tRNA
Rfam family: tRNA
About the family: Transfer RNA (tRNA) molecules are approximately 80 nucleotides in length.
Source: Rfam by way of RNAcentral
GGGCGGUUAGCUCAGCUGGUUAGAGCGCAUGCUUCACACGCAUGAGGUCACAGGUUCGAGUCCUGUAUCGCCCA